GAAGGCUUUAAUCGAAGCUGCUGUUGUUAAUUUAUAAUGAUCGCAGUCAAAGUGAGGCCAAUAGUAUUCUUCUAUUUUGGUCACUGAUUAGUUACUCAUAACUAAAACAGUAUUACCCAAGUAGAAUACACUU
RNAcentral lists this small nucleolar RNA (133 nucleotides) under Oryctes borbonicus. The record is from RNAcentral. Lineage: Eukaryota; Metazoa; Arthropoda; Insecta; Coleoptera; Scarabaeidae.